This 308-nucleotide unclassified non-coding RNA is filed under the name plant metagenome. Its description in RNAcentral is "partial contains 5.8S ribosomal RNA, internal transcribed spacer 2, and large subunit ribosomal RNA". The stretch from base 1 to 106 matches the Rfam family "5.8S ribosomal RNA", at positions 49 to 154 of the family's 154-position model. The record is from RNAcentral.
CGAAAUGCGAUAAGUAGUGUGAAUUGCAGAAUUCAGUGAAUCAUCGAAUCUUUGAACGCACAUUGCGCCCCUUGGUAUUCCAUGGGGCAUGCCUGUUCGAGCGUCAUUUCAACCCUCAGAACCCCUUGCGGGAUCUGGCGUUGGGGAUUGGCAUCCAGCCAGCCCCGAAAUCUAGUGGCGGUCCCUCCGCGACCUCCCCUGUGCAGUAGCGAUACCUCGCAGCGGGACAGCGGUCUGACCACGCCGUAAAACCCCCAACUUCUCAAGGUUGACCUCGAAUCAGGUAGGAAUACCCGCUGAACUUAAGC